This is a long non-coding RNA of Homo sapiens (human), 1470 nucleotides long. NCBI's taxonomy places the organism in Eukaryota, Metazoa, Chordata, Mammalia, Primates, Hominidae. The record is from Ensembl.
CUUUUCAUUCCCGUUGUUAUGGAGGGCCACAUCUGCCAGAGCCUGGAGUCUGCGAAGGCCGGGACCCGGUUCCCCGGCCCACAGUGGGGGUGUGCAAACCCGAGAGAACUGGGUAAGUUGGGGUCGGCUUGCAGUUUGGGGUACCCCGAGGGCGGUGUACGUCGGUAAGAUUGUAACAGUAUUACUGGAAGACUUAUUCGACUGUCCUGAUGAUACUUGUAAUAGGAAGUGCCGUCAGAAGCGAUAACUGACGACGUCUAAUGUCUAUCUGACCGCAGUCGCUGAAACCUCUACAACUUAGUUGACCGUAACUGCCAGAGCCCUGCCCUGAAUUCCUGUCCUUACUCCCUCUUUAAGAUUGCGUACCCACUGCAGAGUGCUGAAGACGGGGUAGCCACGAGGUGAGAGGCUCUCUGGUGUAGGGUUUAACAUGGAACGUAGUUUUGUCACUUGAAUGCACGGAAAUUGGCGUUUUGACAGUUUUCUACGUUUAGGUGUUUUAUACACUUUAGGGUAACGUUAUCAUGUCAUUGCAUAGGGUGGAACUUAAAUAGAAACUGGAGAUGGCUGCUUCAGCCACAGUCCUAACCUAGAACUGCAUUUAAAGCAAACUGAUAAUGCAGAAACAAACUCCUUCGUUAAGAAAUGUCUCCAGUAGCAGGGUUAGCUUAAGUUUCAGGUAGGGUCUAGAUCUGCGGUUGGAACAGUACUGGAGGGUUGUGAGGUGCUUGACUGCUCUGAUGAAAUCACUAAUAGGAAGUGCCGUCAGAAGCGAUAACUGACGAAGACUACUCCUGUCUGAUUGCAGUCAAGUCUUCACCACUUGCUGGUUCCCAGGAGUAAACUUGUUUGAACGGUGACCUAAUUGCUAUAUUCACCUAGGUUGCAAAUUCGUGAAGAAUCAGCAUCAUGUUUGGCAGCUGAGUAUUGGAGCCAGGAGCCUGCCAUGAGGUUUUGAGAACAGAGUGCUGUUUUAGAGCUGGCAGCAGCAUCUCAGCCCAAGAGAAGGUAAGCCUUGAGCUGGCCAAUGAUCCCUUCAACCCCAUAGUGGAAUGAAUAAACAGCUGAUCUUGUUAAAACUCGCUUCAAAAAAAAAAGAUAUCAAAUGAUGAAAUCACCCAAAAUAGCUGGAAUUACCGGCAGAUUGUGUAGUGGUGAACCUAUGGUUUUCUGAAGAUAUCUCUUACCCUGUGAUUGACUGUCAGUUGGUGCAGAAAGUGAGAUUGAAAUGUAGUUUCUUUGCAGGUUAUAUUCCCAGAGGAUGUCAGUCCCAAGGACCAGUAGCUGCCAUCAGUUUGGAUUCUGAAAACUAACUGGCAUCAACACUGGGUGUAGAAACAUGCUUGCCUUAUGUAUCAGAGGACAUGCUCAGCAGAUCCAAGAGAUAUAUUUGGCAACUUUUUCUAGAAAAGGCACAUUGGGUAUCAUUCAUUACAUUCUUGAGUUUUUUUGGGUUUUUUUUUUUUUUUU